Molecule: ribosomal RNA, 382 nt
Filed under: uncultured bacterium
Lineage: Bacteria
Description: bacterial SSU rRNA
Rfam family: Bacterial small subunit ribosomal RNA
Source: RNAcentral
UAACACAUGCAAGUCGAGCGGAUGAAUGGAGCUUGCUCCAUGAUUCAGCGGCGGACGGGUGAGUAAUGCCUAGGAAUCUGCCUGGUAGUGGGGGACAACGUUUCGAAAGGAACGCUAAUACCGCAUACGUCCUACGGGAGAAAGUGGGGGAUCUUCGGACCUCACGCUAUCAGAUGAGCCUAGGUCGGAUUAGCUUGUUGGCGGGGUAAAAGCCCACCGAGGCGACGAUCCGUAGCUGGUCUGAGAGGAUGAUCAGCCACACUGGGACUGAGACACGGCCCAGACUCCUACGGGAGGCAGCAGUGGGGAAUAUUGGACAAUGGGCGAAAGCCUGAUCCAGCAAUGCCGCGUGAGUGAUGAAGGCCUUAGGGUUGUAAAGCUC